AUUGAACGCUGGCGGCAUGCUUUACACAUGCAAGUCGAGCGGCAGCACGGGGGCAACUGCGGUGGCGAGGGGCGAAGGGGUGAGUAAUACAUCGGAACACGCGCAGGCGGGGGGGAUAACACUUCGAAAGAAGUGCUAAUACCGCACACGUCCUGAGGGGGAAAGCGGGGGAGCGCGAGACCUCGCGGGCUGGGAGUGGCCGAUGUCAGAUUAGCUAGUUGGUGGGGUAAAGGCCUACCAAGGCAACGAUCUGUAGCUGGUCUGAGAGGAUGAUCAGCCACACUGGGACUGAGACACGGCCCAGACUCCUACGGGAGGCAGCAGUGGGGAAUUUUGGACAAUGGGGGCAACCCUGAUCCAGCCAUGCCGCGUGAGUGAAGAAGGCCUUCGGGUUGUAAAGCUCUUUUGGCAGGAACGAAACGGUGUCCUCUAACAUAGCUUGCUAAUGACGGUACCUGAAGAAUAAGCACCGGCUAACUACGUG
This 484-nucleotide ribosomal RNA is filed under the name uncultured bacterium. RNAcentral's name for it is "partial 16S ribosomal RNA". It matches the Rfam family "Bacterial small subunit ribosomal RNA", at positions 29 to 507 of the family's 1533-position model. The record is from RNAcentral.